This 79-nucleotide transfer RNA is filed under the name Klebsiella pneumoniae. Its description in RNAcentral is "tRNA-Val". It matches the Rfam family "tRNA". Rfam says of the family: Transfer RNA (tRNA) molecules are approximately 80 nucleotides in length. The record is from RNAcentral. Lineage: Bacteria; Pseudomonadati; Pseudomonadota; Gammaproteobacteria; Enterobacterales; Enterobacteriaceae.
GGGUGAUUAGCUCAGCUGGGAGAGCACCUCCCCCCUUACAAGGAGGGGGUCGGCGGUUCGAUCCCGUCAUCACCCACCA